This is a long non-coding RNA of Pogoniulus pusillus (Red-fronted tinkerbird), 518 nucleotides long. RefSeq lists it as uncharacterized. The record is from RefSeq and is a predicted model, not a curated record. The transcript is spliced from 2 exons. Lineage: Eukaryota; Metazoa; Chordata; Aves; Piciformes; Lybiidae.
GCAGGUAGAUGUCGGGGUACAUGGUGUCCUGGAAGACCAGCUCCAGCGUCUCCAGUUGCGCCGCCGUGAAGCUGGUCCGCUUCCGACGCUGUGAAGCCGCCGGCGACCCCUCCGCUGGGGCCGCGGCUCCCCCGGCCAGAUUCGCCGCGGGGAGCGGCCUGAGGGCAGGCGAGGUCGGGCUGGGGCCGCCGCCUGCCGCCCACCUGGCUGGGGGGAAGGCGGAUGCAAGUCCAAUGCACCUGGGGAGCCCCAGCAGCUCAGGACCUGGCAGAGAGAGAGGCCAGCAUCAUCACCUCUUCCACCUACUUGCUAAUGCCCACAUACUCCUGCUCCCGCAGCCCUAGCACUUCUAGUAACCAUUUCCCAGCUGGAGAGAGGCUCACACUAAGACCUUAUCCAUCAACUCCAAACAGACUGUGCCUGGCUGUCAGCAAGAUGCUGUAAAAACAAGCUGCCCUUCUCUUGUUCUGCUUCCCCUGAAAGAAUGAUAUUCUGAUCAUUAAAACCUAUCUUGGAAA